GACAGGAAAGAAAGAACCAUAUAAACCAAAAACUGGAUGGACUGAAGAGAGAGCAGCAAAGGCCAAUCCUUGAGUCACCUGCUGGAUGGCCAGCAUCAUCCCAGACACUGCAUCAGGAACCAGGUUUUCCUUCCAAUCGUAGAUGGGCACCCACUCCAAGAUGGGCAGCCGCCUCACGCACCACUCCUUGACAUCUUCACAGCGAACGGCCCGGAUCUUCCCCCACA
This 227-nucleotide long non-coding RNA is filed under the name Gallus gallus (chicken). The record is from RNAcentral. Lineage: Eukaryota; Metazoa; Chordata; Aves; Galliformes; Phasianidae.